Molecule: long non-coding RNA, 648 nt
Organism: Prosopis cineraria
Lineage: Eukaryota; Viridiplantae; Streptophyta; Magnoliopsida; Fabales; Fabaceae
Exons: 2
Source: RefSeq, a predicted model, not a curated record
ACCCACAUAUAUUCCUUCCAAACGUGAUGAUAGCAAACUCUCACAGGCUACAGCUCUAUAUAAACCCCAUCAUCCUCAUGGCCUCUUCGCACAGCAACAUUCUAUGCAAGCUUCCCUAGAAAGGCAACAUGUUUUGGCUUCAAGGGGAGGCAACGAGGGGUUCUAUCUCCCCCAAAUUAAUCCCUUAAUUAAUUUUUCUCUGAAAUGAUCCGAUUAUUGGAGGUUGCAGGUGGAUCAGAGCUAUAUCUGCAAAUAAGAUUUCAAAUGGAGAAUUUGAAGGGUAAGGGAGGUGACAGAAGAGAGUGAGCACACAUGGUACUUUCUUGCAUGGUUUAUGCUUGGAACUAUGCGUGCUCACUCUCUAUCUGUCACACCCACCAUCUGCCCCCCUUUCUCUCUCCUCUUUUAUUCACUUUCUCUAAUAUCGUGUUCUUGCUUCUGUUUGGAUCUGCCUCCAGCCCUACUGGUGGCCUGUAUAGAUGACUGAGACAGAAAGCUUCAUUAAUGGUGGAAACAUACAAAGGCUUGUUCUUGAUUUUUCCCCUCUCAUGUUGUCCAUCACGUUGGUUUGUUCCUCUUUAAAAUUAGUGAAAGUUAAAGUGUGUAUUCAAGGGUUAAACUUUUGCGAUUAGUCAGUCUUGACAGAUA